Molecule: ribosomal RNA, 465 nt
Filed under: Vreelandella stevensii
Lineage: Bacteria; Pseudomonadati; Pseudomonadota; Gammaproteobacteria; Oceanospirillales; Halomonadaceae
Description: partial 16S ribosomal RNA
Rfam family: Bacterial small subunit ribosomal RNA
Source: RNAcentral
CCUACGGGAGGCAGCAGUGGGGAAUAUUGGACAAUGGGCGAAAGCCUGAUCCAGCCAUGCCGCGUGUGUGAAGAAGGCCUUCGGGUUGUAAAGCACUUUCAGUGGGGAAGAAAGCCUUGGGGCUAAUACCCUCGAGGAAGGACAUCACCCACAGAAGAAGCACCGGCUAACUCCGUGCCAGCAGCCGCGGUAAUACGGAGGGUGCGAGCGUUAAUCGGAAUUACUGGGCGUAAAGCGCGCGUAGGCGGUCUGAUAAGCCGGUUGUGAAAGCCCCGGGCUCAACCUGGGAACGGCAUCCGGAACUGCCAGGCUAGAGUGAAGGAGAGGAAGGUAGAAUUCCCGGUGUAGCGGUGAAAUGCGUAGAGAUCGGGAGGAAUACCAGUGGCGAAGGCGGUCUUCUGGACUGACACUGACGCUGAGGUGCGAAAGCGUGGGUAGCAAACAGGAUUAGAUACCCCAGUAGUC